Molecule: ribosomal RNA, 459 nt
Filed under: uncultured bacterium
Lineage: Bacteria
Description: partial 16S ribosomal RNA
Rfam family: Bacterial small subunit ribosomal RNA
Source: RNAcentral
CCUACGGGGCGCAGCAGUGAGGAAUAUUGGUCAAUGGCCGGGAGGCUGAACCAGCCAAGUCGCGUGAUGGAAGACGGCCCUACGGGUUGUAAACCUCUUUUGUCAGGGAGCAAGGUGCAGGUCGGGACCUUCUGUGAGAGUACCUGAAGAAAAAUCAUCGGCUAACUCCGUGCCAGCAGCCGCGUUAAUCCGGAGGAUGCGAGCGUUAUCCGUAUUUAUUGGUUUUAAAGGGUGCGCAGGCUGAGGCACAAGUCAGCGGUAAAAUCGCGGGGCUCAACCCCGCUCCGCCGUUGAAACUGUGUCCCUUGAGUGCGCGAAGGGUAGGUGGAAUGCGUGGUGUAGCGGUGAAAUGCAUAGAUAUAACGCAGAACUCCGAUCGCGAAGGCAGCCUACCGGCGCGCAACUGACGCUCAUGCACGAAAGCGUGGGUAUCGAACAGGAUUAGAUACCCUUGUAGUC